Molecule: unclassified non-coding RNA, 759 nt
Filed under: uncultured bacterium
Lineage: Bacteria
Description: partial contains 16S ribosomal RNA, 16S-23S ribosomal RNA intergenic spacer, and 23S ribosomal RNA
Rfam family: Bacterial small subunit ribosomal RNA (bases 1-192)
Source: RNAcentral
CUUUAUUCUAGCAGCCGCGGUAAUACGUUCCCGGGCCUUGUACUCACCGCCCGUCACAUCACGAAAGUCGGUUGCACUAGAAGUCGGUGGGCUAACCCGCAAGGGGGGCAGCCGCCUAAAGUGUGAUCGGUAAUUGGGGUGAAGUCGUAACAAGGUAGCUGUAGGAGAACCUGUGGCUGGAUCACCUCCUUUCUAAGGAGCAUCUCCGCCCCGGAUCAAAACGGGGUCGUGAAGGAGCUUCCUAGGUCGAAGGGAAUCCGUCAGCCCCGAGCGCAAGCGAGGGGGUCUGACAAACGUCUUGCCUCGACCGUCUUUCCUGUUCAGUUUUCAGAGAACCGUCCGGUUCUAUGACAAUCGACGCUGCGGAAGGUGGCUGAACGGCUAUCGAUCGAACGAGAGCGGGCCUAUAGCUCAGUUGGUUAGAGCGCACGCCUGAUAAGCGUGAGGUCGGUAGUUCAAAUCUACCUAGGCCCACCAUUCUGAUCGGGGAUUGAGGGUUGAGAUUGCCGAAACAGUAAGUUCGUCAGUCUGGAUUCUCAAUCCCGAACCGAGGGGCUGUAGCUCAGCUGGGAGAGCACCUGCUUUGCAAGCAGGGGGUCGUCGGUUCGAUCCCGAUCAGCUCCACCAAUCUCCGCAUCGUCAUUCGCGAGUAUCAGUAGUGUGCAUGCCCUCAUCGUGUGCACUGCCGAUCUUCGCGAUCCAGCGUUCGUUGACAAUUGAAUACGGGUAAGUAAAUGGGAUGCACGACGUGCGCUUCUG